This 491-nucleotide ribosomal RNA is filed under the name uncultured bacterium. RNAcentral's name for it is "partial 16S ribosomal RNA". It matches the Rfam family "Bacterial small subunit ribosomal RNA", at positions 29 to 507 of the family's 1533-position model. The record is from RNAcentral.
GUGAACGCUGGCGGUAGGCCUAACACAUGCAAGUCGAACGGCAGCACAGUAAGAGCUUGCUCUUACGGGUGGCGAGUGGCGGACGGGUGAGGAAUACAUCGGAAUCUACUUUUUCGUGGGGGAUAACGUAGGGAAACUUACGCUAAUACCGCAUACGACCUACGGGUGAAAGCAGGGGAUCUUCGGACCUUGCGCGAUUGAAUGAGCCGAUGUCGGAUUAGCUAGUUGGCGGGGUAAAGGCCCACCAAGGCGACGAUCCGUAGAUGGUCUGAGAGGAUGAUCAGCCACACUGGAACUGAGACACGGUCCAGACUCCUACGGGAGGCAGCAGUGGGGAAUAUUGGACAAUGGGCGCAAGCCUGAUCCAGCCAUACCGCGUGGGUGAAGAAGGCCUUCGGGUUGUAAAGCCCUUUUGUUGGGAAAGAAAAGCAGCAGGUUAAUACCCCGCUGUUCUGACGGUACCCAAAGAAUAAGCACCGGCUAACUUCGUG